UCGCAUGAUUUGCUUUAGACGCUUUUCAAACUUUUCUUCAACUAUAUUUGGAAGCAAUUUCAGUGUCCAAAUUGAGACAACAAUUCCAUGGAUGAUCAACCAGUUGGGAAUGUCCACUCCAAUCCUCACUUGAUAGGAGAUCCAUCCAAGGUUAAAGGUCCAGAUAGCGAUGGAUCAUUCAGUAUCUCCGUUCGAGCCUUGAACAUCACUUGGGGCAACGAUCCACGAUAUUGGGAACUAGCUAAAUUUUGUGAGACCGAGUCUAAAGGAUGCGGCGCUGCAACAAGUGAACUGGCUCCAUGUGAUGUGAAAAUUCGAACUCGUGACCUUUAACAUCGUGCCAAAAUUAUACAAAGUAUACUACAUGAUGAAGUUCAAUGAGGAUGCGUUUGGAUGGAGCCACGCCCCGAUCAAAUUCAAGGUCAAAUUGGAAGGGGGCAAUGAGAGUGAAGUGAAAGUGAAUCUUCAUAAGUAUCGAGAGAAGCCGAUGAUGUGGCACAAGGUUUACGUCGGAGAGUUUAAUGUUGUCGGAGAUGGGAGUUCGAUGACGGUAGAGGUUGGGAUGUUUGAAGUGGAGACCGAUUGGUGGAAAGGGGGUGCGAUCCUCGACGGCGUUCGGAUUGAACCCGAUUUAUAGAUAACUUAUUUAAGUGAUAUUAUUAAUUAGUAUACGGUUUUGUAUUGUAUUGUAUUAAUUAUAUACAUAUAAGUUCUGUUGUUUGAUGUUCGGUUUAUAAUAUAGUAGUAAUUAUAUAAUGAAAUUUGUCUGUACCAAAGAUGAAUCUAACAUGUUAAUUAUUGCGUUGAUAGAAAUUCGAUCAA
This is a long non-coding RNA of Salvia splendens (bonfire salvia), 822 nucleotides long. RefSeq lists it as uncharacterized. The record is from RefSeq and is a predicted model, not a curated record. The transcript is spliced from 3 exons. NCBI's taxonomy places the organism in Eukaryota, Viridiplantae, Streptophyta, Magnoliopsida, Lamiales, Lamiaceae.